UACAGAGGGUGCAAGCGUUAAUCGGAAUUACUGGGCGUAAAGCGCGCGUAGGUGGUUUGUUAAGUUGGAUGUGAAAUCCCCGGGCUCAACCUGGGAACUGCAUUCAAAACUGACAAGCUAGAGUAUGGUAGAGGGUGGUGGAAUUUCCUGUGUAGCGGUGAAAUGCGUAGAUAUAGGAAGGAACACCAGUGGCGAAGGCGACCACCUGGACUGAUACUGACACUGAGGUGCGAAAGCGUGGGGAGCAAACGGG
Molecule: ribosomal RNA, 253 nt
Filed under: uncultured bacterium
Lineage: Bacteria
Description: partial 16S ribosomal RNA
Rfam family: Bacterial small subunit ribosomal RNA
Source: RNAcentral